GUCUCCAUAGCUCAGCGGAUGGAAUGUGAGAUUCCGGAUCUCAAGAUGAGAGUUCAACUCCCCCUGGAGACU
RNAcentral lists this transfer RNA (72 nucleotides) under Candidatus Falkowiibacteriota bacterium. RNAcentral describes it as "tRNA-Arg". It matches the Rfam family "tRNA". From Rfam's summary of the family: Transfer RNA (tRNA) molecules are approximately 80 nucleotides in length. Their secondary structure includes four short double-helical elements and three loops (D, anti-codon, and T loops). Further hydrogen bonds mediate the characteristic L-shaped molecular structure. tRNAs have two regions of fundamental functional importance: the anti-codon, which is responsible for specific mRNA codon recognition, and the 3' end, to which the tRNAs corresponding amino acid is attached (by aminoacyl-tRNA synthetases). tRNAs cope with the degeneracy of the genetic code in two manners: having more than one tRNA (with a specific anti-codon) for a particular amino acid; and 'wobble' base-pairing, i.e. permitting non-standard base-pairing at the 3rd anti-codon position. Lineage: Bacteria; Candidatus Falkowiibacteriota. The record is from RNAcentral.